ACUGGCUCACUGCUCCCACGGUGUCCUUACCAGCACAACUUACCCCAUCCCUCCCUAGCCCACUCUUGAGGAUACUUUCUUGCCACUGUCAGGCUUACUCCUGCCUCCUAGACUGAGGAAAGAAAAGCCUCCUGGUUUGGAGCUCAUAAUCAAGUCAGCCUUGCUGCAGGGCUCAUUUUAAGCCAGUAUCCUGGACCAGAUAAGGAAGCUGAAGCUUUGAGAAUUUAAUUUGCUCAAGGGGAGGCCAGGACAAGAAAUAAUGAAGAGUCCGAUGUGGCAGGAAUGUAGGAAACAAGUCAAUGAUGGAAGAUAAAUAUGGAGACGUGAUGAAGGCAAAAUUCUGAAGGGUCUUAGAGCCCAUUAUAAGACGUUUGGUUUUUAUGGUUAGUGAGAAGGAAAACCAUUGGGGGUGGUUGGGCAGAAGAGUAAUAUGACUUGACUUAUAUUAAAAAAAUAAUUUGGUG
RNAcentral lists this long non-coding RNA (464 nucleotides) under Homo sapiens (human). RNAcentral describes it as "LNC_000768". The record is from RNAcentral. Lineage: Eukaryota; Metazoa; Chordata; Mammalia; Primates; Hominidae.